This 429-nucleotide ribosomal RNA is filed under the name Gemmatimonadota bacterium. RNAcentral's name for it is "Gemmatimonadetes bacterium partial 16S ribosomal RNA". It matches the Rfam family "Bacterial small subunit ribosomal RNA", at positions 355 to 776 of the family's 1533-position model. Lineage: Bacteria; Pseudomonadati; Gemmatimonadota. The record is from RNAcentral.
UAGGGAAUCUUCGGCAAUGGACGAAAGUCUGACCGAGCAACGCCGCGUGAGUGAAGAAGGUUUUCGGAUCGUAAAACUCUGUUGUUAGAGAAGAACAAGGACGUUAGUAACUGAACGUCCCCUGACGGUAUCUAACCAGAAAGCCACGGCUAACUACGUGCCAGCAGCCGCGGUAAUACGUAGGUGGCAAGCGUUGUCCGGAUUUAUUGGGCGUAAAGCGAGCGCAGGCGGUUUCUUAAGUCUGUUGUGAAAGCCCCCGGCUCAACCGGGUAGGGUCAUUGGAAGCUGGGAGACUUGAGUGCAGAUGAGGAGAGUGGAAUUCCAUGUGUAGCGAUGAUGUGCGUAAAUAUAUGGAGGAACACCAGUGGCGAAGGCGGCUCUCUGGUCUGUAACUGACGCUGAGGCUCGAAAGCGUGGGGAGCAAACAGG